RNAcentral lists this unclassified non-coding RNA (430 nucleotides) under Hevea brasiliensis (rubber tree). The record is from RNAcentral. Lineage: Eukaryota; Viridiplantae; Streptophyta; Magnoliopsida; Malpighiales; Euphorbiaceae.
AGCAUUACAGUAUCUGCUCAGCAUCUCUACCCUGAACCUUAGAAGGGAUAUUGUAAUAAAGUUGCAACACACUCAAACUGUGCACCAUUCAGUUCUAUUCACCAGCAAACAAUCCAAAGUAUUCACAGACAAGAUCGUACACAUCUGCCCCCGUGUCACUACCAACAGAUCCACCAUUCCAGAAAAAGUAAACAAAUACCAGUCAAAAAUGUGCUCUGGAAGCAGCAUGGUCAGCAAGAACUUCAUCUCCUAUCAUCAAUAAAAAUGGCAUAAGCAAGACAGUCUUUCCAAGUGAAAGUGGCCCCAUACUACCAGCAGUUAAAAGGAAUCCCACAACUAAUCAGAAAGUUAGCUGCAGCCUGUAGAAUGAACUUCAGGUUUUCCAGAAAUGCUCUCCCCACAGUUAAUGGCAGCCUCAUCAAGAAGCAUC